This 357-nucleotide long non-coding RNA is filed under the name Hordeum vulgare. RNAcentral describes it as "long non-coding RNA (HVUL_LNC000960)". Lineage: Eukaryota; Viridiplantae; Streptophyta; Magnoliopsida; Poales; Poaceae. The record is from RNAcentral.
UUUUUGUUUUGUUCACAUUCUAUGAGUAAAUUCUUGGAGCAUCAUGUGCCUUUUAUUUUCCUUUUAGAAAUGCACCAUGCUAGUAUGGGAAAGUCCAUGGUUGAGUUAUAGAAUGCUCUUUGCACUUCACUUAUAUCUUUUGAGUAUGACUUUAUAGAAUGCUUCAUGUGCUUCACUAAUACCAUUUGAAGUUGGAUGCCUAUUUCUCUACAUAUAGAAAACCAUUAUUUGUAGAAUGCUCUUUCGCUUCACUUAUAUUCAUUAGAGUGUGGUCUUUUGUAGAAAUAAUUACACUCUCAUGCUUCACACAUACCUAUUUAGAUAGUUAAAAAAAAUUGGUCAUUUACAUGGUUAGCC